UACGGAAGGCAGCAGUGGGGAAUAUUGCACAAUGGGCGCAAGCCUGAUGCAGCCAUGCCGCGUGUAUGAAGAAGGCCUUCGGGUUGUAAAGUACUUUCAGCGGGGAGGAAGGCGAUGUGGUUAAUAACCGCGUCGAUUGACGUUACCCGCAGAAGAAGCACCGGCUAACUCCGUGCCAGCAGCCGCGGUAAUACGGAGGGUGCAAGCGUUAAUCGGAAUUACUGGGCGUAAAGCGCACGCAGGCGGUCUGUUAAGUCAGAUGUGAAAUCCCCGGGCUUAACCUGGGAACUGCAUUUUGAACUGGCAGGCUUGAGUCUCGUAGAGGGGGUAGAAUUCCAGGUGUAGCGGUGAAAUGCGUAGAGAUCUGGAGGAAUACCGGUGGCGAAGGCGGCCCCUGGGACGAAGACUGACGCUCAGGGUGCGAAAGCGUGGGGAGCGAAACAGGAUUAGAU
RNAcentral lists this ribosomal RNA (452 nucleotides) under uncultured bacterium. Its description in RNAcentral is "bacterial SSU rRNA". It matches the Rfam family "Bacterial small subunit ribosomal RNA", at positions 340 to 783 of the family's 1533-position model. The record is from RNAcentral.